AUGAGCAAGAGGGUUGGCAUCAUCGGAGCUGGAGUCAGUGGCUUGGCUGCCAUACGGUGCUGUCUGGAGGAGGGGUUGGAGCCCACUUGCUUUGAAAGGAGCAAUGAUGUUGGAGGCCUGUGGAAAUUCUUGGACCACACAGAAGAAGGCAGAGCCAGCAUUUACCAGUCUGUAUUCACGAACUCUUUCAAAGAAAUGAUGUGCUUUCCAGACUUCCCUUACCCGGAUGGUUACCCAAACUAUAUGCACCACAGCAAGCUCCAGGAAUAUAUAAAGACAUAUGCUCAAAAGAAGGAUCUUUUAAGAUACAUACAGUUUGAGACCUUGGUUUCCAGUAUAAAGAAAGGUCCCAGCUUCUUAGUCACGGGCCAAUGGGUUGUUGUUACUGAAAAGGAUGGGAAACAGGAAUCUACUAUUUUUGAUGCUAUAAUGAUUUGUUCAGGACAUCACGUAUACCCCAAUCUGCCAACUGAUUCCUUUCCUGGCCUGGACCAGUUUCGAGGCAACUACCUCCAUAGCCGGGAUUAUAAGAAUCCAGAUGCCUUCAUAGGGGAAGAGGGUCCUCGUGAUUGGUCUAGGGAAUUCGGGAUCUGACAUUGCUGUUGAGCUCAGCCAUCUGGCUACACAGGUCAUUUUCAGUACCAGAAGUGGUUCCUGGGUCAUGAGUCGGGUCUGGGAUGAUGGCUAUCCUUGGGAUAUGAUGUAUGUUACCCGCUUUGCAUCCUUUCUCCGGAAUGUCCUUCCUUCAUUCGUCUCUGACUGGUUAUAUGUCCAGAAGAUGAACACGUGGUUUAAGCAUGAGAGCUAUGGCCUGAUGCCUUUAAAUGGUUCCCUGAGAAAAGAGCCUGUGUUCAAUGAUGAGCUCCCAUCCCGCAUCGUGUGUGGCACUCCGUCCAUCAAGCCCAGUGUGAAGGAGUUCACGGAAACCUCAGCUGUGUUUGAGGAUGGGACCGUGUUUGAGGCUAUCGACUCCGUCAUCUUUGCAACAGGCUAUGAUUAUUCCUACCCCGCCUUGAUGAGACCAUCAUGAAAAGCAGAAACAAUGAGGUUACCUUGUUUAAAGGCAUCUUCCCCCCACUAAGGGAGAAGCCAACCUUGGCUGUGAUUGGCUUGGUUCAGUCCCUUGGAGCUGCCAUCCCCAUAGCAGACCUGCAAGCCCGGUGGGCUGCUAAAGUAUUUGCAAACUCAUGUACCCUGCCAACCAUGAAUGAAAUGAUGGAUUACAUUGAUGAGAAAAUGGGGAAAAAAUUCAAGUGUAUGUUCUUUCUUCAGGUUUGGCCAGAGCCAGACUUUGCAGACAGAUUACAUCACAUAUAUGGAUGAGCUGGGCUCUUUCAUAGGGGCCAAGCCUAACAUACCAUGGCUCUUCCUGACAGAUCCCCACCUGGCCCUGGAGGUGUACUUUGGCCCUUGCAGCCCAUACCAGUUUCGACUGAUGGGACCAGGGAAGUGGGAUGGGGCCAGAAAUGCCAUCCUGACCCAAUGGAAAUGGACAGUGAAGCCAACCAGGACAAGAGUUGUCAGUGAAGCUCAGCGACCCCAUCCCUUUUACAAUUUGCUUAAAAUGCUUUCAUUCCCAUUACUCCUUCUGGCUGUUACACUUACAUUUUAUUAA
This 1615-nucleotide small RNA is filed under the name Pongo abelii (Sumatran orangutan). RNAcentral describes it as "transcribed unitary pseudogene". The record is from RNAcentral. Lineage: Eukaryota; Metazoa; Chordata; Mammalia; Primates; Hominidae.